This 458-nucleotide ribosomal RNA is filed under the name uncultured bacterium. Its description in RNAcentral is "bacterial SSU rRNA". It matches the Rfam family "Bacterial small subunit ribosomal RNA", at positions 30 to 479 of the family's 1533-position model. The record is from RNAcentral.
AUUGAACGCUGGCGGCAUGCUUUACACAUGCAAGUCGAACGGCAGCGCGGGCUUCGGCCUGGCGGCGAGUGGCGAACGGGUGAGUAAUAUAUCGGAACGUACCCAAGAGUGGGGAUAACGUAGCGAAAGUUACGCUAAUACCGCAUACGAUCUAAGGAUGAAAGCAGGGGAUCGCAAGACCUUGUGCUCCUGGAGCGGCCGAUAUCUGAUUAGCUAGUUGGUGAGGUAAAGGCUCACCAAGGCAACGAUCAGUAGCUGGUCUGAGAGGACGACCAGCCACACUGGAACUGAGACACGGUCCAGACUCCUACGGGAGGCAGCAGUGGGGAAUUUUGGACAAUGGGGGCAACCCUGAUCCAGCAAUGCCGCGUGAGUGAAGAAGGCCUUCGGGUUGGUAAAGGACUCUUUUGUCAGGAAGAAAAGGCUAGUGGCUAAUAUCCACAGCUGCUGACGGUACC